Long non-coding RNA from Oreochromis niloticus (Nile tilapia), 197 nucleotides. RefSeq lists it as uncharacterized. The record is from RefSeq and is a predicted model, not a curated record. NCBI's taxonomy places the organism in Eukaryota, Metazoa, Chordata, Actinopteri, Cichliformes, Cichlidae. The transcript is spliced from 2 exons.
AAAUGCGGCCCUCAAAUGCGUCCUUAAUUUCCCUGAAUUUUAAGGAUGGGUCGGUGUAGCCUUCAUGGCCCAACAUAUCCCAGAUUUCAUAGCGCGGCGGUGGUGUGGAUAAUUUUGCCGAAAAAAACGGCGGAAGCGGAGCCGCCAAAGAGUAAACUUUCAGAACUUAUCACACAUUUGAUUUCCAUGUGUGACAA